Molecule: ribosomal RNA, 981 nt
Filed under: Microbacterium sp. L1Cc
Lineage: Bacteria; Bacillati; Actinomycetota; Actinomycetes; Micrococcales; Microbacteriaceae
Description: bacterial SSU rRNA
Rfam family: Bacterial small subunit ribosomal RNA
Source: RNAcentral
GGGGAAUUUGCACAAUGGGCGCAGCCUGAUGCAGCACGCCGCGUGAGGGAUGACGGCCUUCGGGUUGUAAACCUCUUUUAGCAGGGAAGAAGCGAGAGUGACGGUACCUGCAGAAAAAGCACCGGCUAACUACGUGCCAGCAGCCGCGGUAAUACGUAGGGUGCAAACGUUUCGGAAUUAUUGGGCGUAAGAGCUCGUAGGCGGUUUGUCGCGUCUGCUGUGAAAUCUGGGGGCUCAACCCCCAGCCUGCAGUGGGUACGGGCAGACUAAAGUGCGGUAGGGGAGAUUGAANUCCUGGUGUAGCGGUGGAAUGCGCAAAUAUCAGGAGGAACACCGAUGGCGAAGGCAGAUCUCUGGGCCGUAACUGACGCUGAGGAGCGAAAGGGUGGGGAGCAAACAGGCUUAGAUACCCUGGUAGUCCCCCCGUAACGUUGGGAACUAGUNGUGGGGUCAUUCCCGGAUUCGUGACGCACUACGCAUUANUUCCCCCCUGGGAGUACGCCGCAGGCUAAACUCAAGGAUNGAGGGGACCCCCACAAGCGGCGGAACAUGCGGAAUAANUUCGAUGCAACCCGAAAAACCUUACCAAGGCUUGACAUAUACGAAAACGGGCCAAAAUGGUCAACUCUUUGGACCUCCUAAACAGGGGGGGCAUGGUUGUCCUCAGCUCGUGUCGUGAGAUGUUGGGUUAAGUCCCGCAACGAGCGCAACCCUCGUUCUAUGUUGCCAGCACGUAAUGGUGGGAACUCAUGGGAUACUGCCGGGGUCAACUCGGAGGAAGGUGGGGAUGACGUCAAAUCAUCAUGCCCCUUAUGUCUUGGGCUUCACGCAUGCUACAAUGGCCGGUACAAUGGGCUGCAAUACCGUGAGGUGGAGCGAAUCCCAAAAAGCCGGUCCCAGUUCGGAUUGAGGUCUGCAACUCGACCUCAUGAAGUCGGAGUCGCUAGUAAUCGCAGAUCAGCAACGCUGCGGGAAACUUCC